UUUGUCGACUUAGCACGCGAAGGCAGAGUGCUUAAUGCGUUUGCUGCAGCACUAAAGGGCGGAAACCCUCUAACACUUAGCACUCAUCGUUUACGGCGUGGACUUACCAGGGUAUCUAAUCCUGUUCGCUCCCCACGCUUUCGCGCCUCAGCGUCAGUUACAGACCAGAGAGUCGCCUUCGCCACUGGUGUUCCUCCACAUCUCUACGCAUUUCACCGCUACACGUGGAAUUCCACUCUCCUCUUCUGCACUCAAGUUCCCCAGUUUCCAAUGACCCUCCCCGGUUGAGCCGGGGGCUUUCACAUCAGACUUAAGAAACCGCCUGCGCGCGCUUUACGCCCAAUAAUUCCGGACAACGCUUGCUUUUUCUACGUAUUACCGCGGCUGCUGGCACGUAGUUAGCCGUGGCUUUCUGGUUAGGUACCGUCAAGGUACCGCCCUAUUCAAACGGUACUUGUUCUUCCCUAACAACAGAGUUUUACGAUCCGAAAACCUUCAUCACUCACGCGGCGUUGCUCCGUCAGACUUUCGUCCAUUGCGGAAGAUUCCCUACUGCUGCCUCCCGUAGGAGUCUGGGCCGUGUCUCAGUCCCAGUGUGGCCGAUCACCCUCUCAGGUCCGCUACGCAUCGUCCCCUUGGUGAGCCGUUAACUCACCAACUAGCUAAUGCGCCGGCGGGUUCAUCUGUAGUUGGUACCCUAAAACCCCCCUUUUAAUGAUUGAAACCUUGCGG
This 732-nucleotide ribosomal RNA is filed under the name Bacillus licheniformis. RNAcentral's name for it is "partial 16S ribosomal RNA". The record is from RNAcentral. Lineage: Bacteria; Bacillati; Bacillota; Bacilli; Caryophanales; Bacillaceae.